This 228-nucleotide ribosomal RNA is filed under the name uncultured bacterium. Its description in RNAcentral is "partial 16S ribosomal RNA". It matches the Rfam family "Bacterial small subunit ribosomal RNA", at positions 524 to 751 of the family's 1533-position model. The record is from RNAcentral.
UACGAAGGGGGCUAGCGUUGUUCGGAAUUACUGGGCGUAAAGCGCGCGCAGGCGGUUCUCCAAGUCAGUGGUGAAAGCCCGGAGCUCAACUCCGGAACUGCCAUUGAAACUGUUGAACUUGAGGACGAGAGAGGUGAGUGGAAUUCCCAGUGUAGAGGUGAAAUUCGUAGAUAUGGGAAGAAACACCAGUGGCGAAGGCGGCUCACUGGCUCGUAUCUGACGCUCAGG